Molecule: long non-coding RNA, 637 nt
Organism: Saccostrea cuccullata (small rock oyster)
Lineage: Eukaryota; Metazoa; Mollusca; Bivalvia; Ostreida; Ostreidae
Exons: 4
Source: RefSeq, a predicted model, not a curated record
AGAAAAGUUUGAAGUAUCUAUGGGAAUGAUCUGACGACAUCGAACUUGCUGAGCCUUCCUUCUUAAAGUGACAUGACCAGAUAUUUGGCUACCCAGUUUGAGAUACGAACUAAUCAUUUGCUGUAUGACUUAUUGUGUAUGAGAUUGCCACCAUUUACUGGAACUUUGAAUUUCCUGUCCACUUUAAACCCCUGCUAUCUACAAUUAUCUUUCUGCUAAAUGAAAUAAAAUACUGUGGAGGAACACGGAGAAAAGGGCACCUCAACAUGUUCAAGGUCAAGCAGCUUUUUACCAUAUCCAUAGUAUCUUGCUGCUAAAUGAAAGAAUUAUUGUGGAGGAACAGAGAAAAGGGCACCUCAACAUGUUCAAGGUCAAGCAGAAAUUAGGAGCUACGUGUGCUUCUCCAGAGCUGAAAAUUUCUUGGAAUGAAGAGAAGAAAAAGCAAGAAGAAGCAGUUUUAAAUAUUGAUUACAUCUUCAUAGUACAAAAAAUGAUUCGAAAGAUGAUACUAUCUAUGAAAUUAGAAAGCUGAAGUGGCGUUCUGAUGAAUGUGAAAAAAUCCUUAAAGAACAGGACACCAAAAGUGCCACUCUCAAAUCAAAACACUCUGAAAGGCAGAGCAUAAGAAGAACUAGGA